This 120-nucleotide ribosomal RNA is filed under the name uncultured bacterium. Its description in RNAcentral is "partial 16S ribosomal RNA". It matches the Rfam family "Bacterial small subunit ribosomal RNA", at positions 215 to 334 of the family's 1533-position model. The record is from RNAcentral.
UCGGCCUGGGAUGGGCUCGCGGCCUAUCAGCUUGUUGGUGGGGUGAUGGCCUACCAAGGCGACGACGGGUAGCCGGCCUGAGAGGGCGACCGGCCACACUGGGACUGAGACACGGCCCAG